This 494-nucleotide ribosomal RNA is filed under the name uncultured bacterium. Its description in RNAcentral is "partial 16S ribosomal RNA". It matches the Rfam family "Bacterial small subunit ribosomal RNA", at positions 28 to 507 of the family's 1533-position model. The record is from RNAcentral.
GACGAACGCUGGCGGCGUGCUUAACACAUGCAAGUCGAACGGUGAAGCGCCUUCCUUUUUGGUGGGUGUGGAUGAGUGGCGAACGGGUGAGUAACACGUGAGUAACCUGCCCCCUUCUUCUGGAUAACCGCAUGAAAGUGUGGCUAAUACGGGAUAUUCUGGGUCUGUCGCAUGAUGGGUCUGGGAAAGAUAUUGUUUCGGUGGGGGAUGGGCUCGCGGCCUAUCAGCUUGUUGGUGGGGUGAUGGCCUACCAAGGCGGUGACGGGUAGCCGGCCUGGGAGGGUGGACGGGUACACUGGGGCUGAGACACGGGCCAGACUCCUGAGGGGGGCAGGAGGGGGGAAUAUUGCACAAUGGGCGGAAGGCUGAUGCAGCGACGCCGCGUGAGGGAUGGAGGCCUUCGGGUUGUGAACCUCUUUCGCCAGUGAAGCAGGCCUGCCUCGUUUGUGGGUGGGUUGACGGUAGCUGGAUAAGAAGCGCCGGCUAACUACGUG